UUAGGUUAUCUAAUGGUAGUGAA
RNAcentral lists this non-coding RNA (23 nucleotides) under Arabidopsis thaliana (thale cress). Lineage: Eukaryota; Viridiplantae; Streptophyta; Magnoliopsida; Brassicales; Brassicaceae. The record is from RNAcentral.